Microcebus murinus (gray mouse lemur) is the source of this 1550-nucleotide non-coding RNA. The record is from RefSeq and is a predicted model, not a curated record. Lineage: Eukaryota; Metazoa; Chordata; Mammalia; Primates; Cheirogaleidae.
GGUUAUAAGUGGAAGCAAAAAAUAUAGAAAACUAAUUUUGCAAUAAAUUGGUAAUAAAGUUAAGGAGACCAAAGGGUAUAGCUACAGAAUGAGGAAAGAUUAUCUGAAGCUAGGGCAGACUUGAACAUGUUUAUCUGGAGAGAGCAGUGAGUGAGAAUGGGAAGAAUGAUGGUACAAAAGAGAAGCAGUCACCGCGAGGAAUUCUCGUAGGAGAUAAAAGGGAAGAGCAGGAGCUCAUGUGGAGGGUUAGCGUUAUUGAGGAAGCAGAGCACCUUUUGAGAGGCUACAAUGAGGAAAGAAAGAGUUAUGAAGAUAGAGAUUUUGAUGCUUAAUUUUAUUUGUCAACCUGGCUAGGCUCUUGUACUCAGUUGUUAGGUCAAACACCAAGUCUAGAUUUUGCUACGAAGGUAUUUUUAGAGAUGAAUUAACAUUCAAAGCAGUAGACUCUGAGUAAAGCGGAUUACUGGAAAGAGAUGGGCCUCGCUGAGUCGGUUGAAGGCCUUACGAACACACACUGUGGCCCCCGGAGGAAGAGGAGUUCCGCCUUCGGACAGCCUCUGGCUCUGGGCUGCAGCCAGCUGCCUGUCCUCCAGGUCUGGGCUGCUGGCCGGCUCUGCGAAGUUUGGGCUUGCCAGCCUCGUGUAACGUAAGCCAAUUCCUUAAGACAAGUCUUUCUCUCUCUGCAUACACACAUCCUGUUGGUUCUGUUCCUGUGAAGAGCCCUGACUAAUGCGGAGACCCCACACGGGCUGGAGGGUUUUGAAGAUGCUCAGGUUAGCGAUGUAAAUCUCUGAUAAAACGGGAGCCUAAGAUAUGUGAUGAAAAUGAAGUGUGCGCUUAAAAAUACAAAUUUUCCCGAAGAACCCUGAGGUAGGUACCUGAGACUGUGGCUUCUUUCAGAAUAAGGAAUCUCUUUUAUGUGUUUUGUAUUCUAAAAUCACAGCACAAUAGCUGGCAUUUUGAAAGUAUACAACAAAUGUUUGCUAUUAGUCAAGUAAGCUGAACAAAAGGUCUGUGAAAGGCCCAGCUAAGGUAGAUGUUAUGAAUCCUAGUGAACAAAUUGUCAUGGCUCUGUAACUUUUUGCCAUAAUGUUAAUUUUCUGGAACUUAGAGCAGAAAAAAUGGAGCGUGGGGAUGAGCACAAUGAGAACUGCUGAGGGUCAAGAGGUUGAGGACAACCAGAGUGGUCGAGUGAGCUGUGAGCCAUGAAAAGUCCUGCCUGUGUGGCCCAGUGAAGAAGAUGCGUGCUCACACCCCCCCCCCCCAGAACAGAUGGCUGUGAAUGGCGGGAGACACAGUGACCCUCUGCCUGACAACUCACUGGCUGGCCAACCUUUAAGGCAAGAGGAGAAGACCUGGGGCUGCUGAAUGAAGGGGAGCAGGUUGGAAGACAGGCCCCUGGGACAGGAGUCUGAGAGCAGUGAAUUGACCGGAGGGCUUGGAACCCAAGAGAAGGCAGGCAAAGCUUCAGAUGAAGCUCUGAAGACUGGGCUCUGGAGUGAAGAUGAUAGACGUGGUGCAGAGCCCCAGCUAGCUGCGAUGUAUGCUUA